Molecule: ribosomal RNA, 253 nt
Filed under: uncultured bacterium
Lineage: Bacteria
Description: partial 16S ribosomal RNA
Rfam family: Bacterial small subunit ribosomal RNA
Source: RNAcentral
UACAGAGGGGGCAAGCGUUGUUCGGAAUUACUGGGCGUAAAGGGCGCGUAGGCGGUUUGUCGCGUCUGGUGUGAAAAUCCAGGGCUUAACCCUGGACCUGCAUCGGGUACGGGCAGACUAGAGUGCGGUAGGGGAGAUCGGAAUUCCAGGUGUAGCGGUGAAAUGCGUAGAGAUCAGGAGGAACACCGGUGGCGAAGGCGGCUUCCUGGGCCACAACUGACGCUGAGGCGCGAAAGCGUGGGGAGCGAACAGG